This 496-nucleotide ribosomal RNA is filed under the name uncultured bacterium. RNAcentral describes it as "partial 16S ribosomal RNA". It matches the Rfam family "Bacterial small subunit ribosomal RNA", at positions 28 to 506 of the family's 1533-position model. The record is from RNAcentral.
GAUGAACGCUGGCGGCGUGCCUAAUACAUGCAAGUCGAGCGAACAGACGAGGAGCUUGCUCCUCUGACGUUAGCGGCGGACGGGUGAGUAACACGUGGAUAACCUACCUAUAAGACUGGGAUAACUUCGGGAAACCGGAGCUAAUACUGGAUAAUAUAUUGAACCGCCUGGUUCAAUAGUGAAAGACGGUUUUGCUGUCACUUAUAGAUGGAUCCGCGCCGCAUUAGCUAGUUGGUAAGGUAACGGCUUACCAAGGCAACGAUGCGUAGCCGACCUGAGAGGGUGAUCGGCCACACUGGAACUGAGACACGGUCCAGACUCCUACGGGAGGCAGCAGUAGGGAAUCUUCCGCAAUGGGCGAAAGCCUGACGGAGCAACGCCGCGUGAGUGAUGAAGGUCUUCGGAUCGUAAAACUCUGUUAUUAGGGAAGAACAAAUGUGUAAGUAACUAUGCACGUCUUGACGGUACCUAAUCAGAAAGCCACGGCUAACUACGU